AUACGGAGGGAGCUAGCGUUGUUCGGAAUUACUGGGCGUAGAGGGCGCGUAGGCGGACCUUCAAGUCGGAAGUGAAAACCGUUGGCUUAACCAGCGGCCUGCUUUCGAUACUGUCGGUCUUGAGUACAGGAGAGGAAAGCGGAAUUCCAGGUGUAGCGGUGAAAUGCGUAGAUAUCUGGAAGAACACCGGAAGCGAAGGCGGCUUUCUGGCCUGCCACUGACGCUAAAGCGCGAAGGCUUGGGUAGCAAACAGGAUUAGAAACCCCGGUAGUCC
This 274-nucleotide ribosomal RNA is filed under the name uncultured bacterium. Its description in RNAcentral is "partial 16S ribosomal RNA". It matches the Rfam family "Bacterial small subunit ribosomal RNA", at positions 523 to 796 of the family's 1533-position model. The record is from RNAcentral.